GUAGUUGGUGAGGUAACGGCCCACCAAGCCUACGAUCGGUAGCCGGACUGAGAGGUUGAUCGGCCACAUUGGGACUGAGACACGGCCCAGACUCCUACGGGAGGCAGCAUG
Molecule: ribosomal RNA, 111 nt
Filed under: uncultured bacterium
Lineage: Bacteria
Description: partial 16S ribosomal RNA
Rfam family: Bacterial small subunit ribosomal RNA
Source: RNAcentral